UGCAGUCGACGCUUCUUUUUCCACCGGAGCUUGCUCCACCGGAAAAAGAGGAGUGGCGAACGGGUGAGUAACACGUGGGUAACCUGCCCAUCAGAAGGGGAUAACACUUGGAAACAGGUGCUAAUACCGUAUAACAAUCAAAACCGCAUGGUUUUGAUUUGAAAGGCGCUUUCGGGUGUCGCUGAUGGAUGGACCCGCGGUGCAUUAGCUAGUUGGUGAGGUAACGGCUCACCAAGGCCACGAUGCAUAGCCGACCUGAGAGGGUGAUCGGCCACAUUGGGACUGAGACACGGCCCAAACUCCUACGGGAGGCAGCAGUAGGGAAUCUUCGGCAAUGGACGAAAGUCUGACCGAGCAACGCCGCGUGAGUGAAGAAGGUUUUCGGAUCGUAAAACUCUGUUGUUAGAGAAGAACAAGGAUGAGAGUAACUGUUCAUCCCUUGACGGUAUCUAACCAGAAAGCCACGGCUAACUACGUGCCAGCAGCCGCGGUAAUACGUAGGUGGCAAGCGUUGUCCGGAUUUAUUGGGCGUAAAGCGAGCGCAGGCGGUUUCUUAAGUCUGAUGUGAAAGCCCCCGGCUCAACCGGGGAGGGUCAUUGGAAACUGGGAGACUUGAGUGCAGAAGAGGAGAGUGGAAUUCCAUGUGUAGCGGUGAAAUGCGUAGAUAUAUGGAGGAACACCAGUGGCGAAGGCGGCUCUCUGGUCUGUAACUGACGCUGAGGCUCGAAAGCGUGGGGAGCAAACAGGAUUAGAUACCCUGGUAGUCCACGCCGUAAACGAUGAGUGCUAAGUGUUGGAGGGUUUCCGCCCUUCAGUGCUGCAGCUAACGCAUUAAGCACUCCGCCUGGGGAGUACGACCGCAAGGUUGAAACUCAAG
Molecule: ribosomal RNA, 877 nt
Filed under: Enterococcus faecium
Lineage: Bacteria; Bacillati; Bacillota; Bacilli; Lactobacillales; Enterococcaceae
Description: bacterial SSU rRNA
Rfam family: Bacterial small subunit ribosomal RNA
Source: RNAcentral